UGUCAGACUCGAGAGUGGUAGAGAGAGGUGGAAUUCCGGGUGUAGUGGUGAAAUGCGUAGAUAUCCGGAGGAACACCAGUGGCGAAAGCGGCCUCCUGGCCCAUUUCUGACGCUCAGACACGAAAGCUAAGGUAGCAAACGGGAUUAGAGACCCCGGUAGUCUUAGCUGUAAACUAUGUGAACUUAGUGUCGGUGGGUUUAAAUCCAUCGGUACUGAAGCAAACGCGAUAAGUUCACCGCCUGGGGACUACGGCCGCAAGGUUAAAACUCAAAGGAAUUGACGGGGCCCCGCACAAGCAGCGGAGCGUGUGGUUUAAUUCGAUGCUACACGAAGAACCUUACCAGGGUUUGACAUGCUAGUGGUAGGAAACCGAAAGGUGACCGACCCUUCGGGGAGCUAGCACAGGUGCUGCAUGGCUGUCGUCAGCUCGUGUCGUGAGAUGUUCGGUUAAGUCCGCUAACGAGCGCAACCCUCGCUGUGUGUUAUAUGUGUCACAUGGGACUGCCGGUCUUAAGCCGGAGGAAGGUGGGGAUGACGUCAAGUCAGCAUGGCCUUUAUGUCCUGGGCUACACACACGCUACAAUGGUCAGCACAAUGGGUCGCUAAGCCGCAAGGUGGAGCCAAUCCUCAAAGUUGGCCUCAGUUCAGAUUGUAGGCUGCAACUCGCCUGCAUGAAGAUGGAGUUGCUAGUAAACGCAGGUCAGCUAUACUGCGUUGAAUACGUUCCCGGGGCUUGUACACACCGCCCGU
This 751-nucleotide ribosomal RNA is filed under the name uncultured bacterium. RNAcentral describes it as "bacterial SSU rRNA". It matches the Rfam family "Bacterial small subunit ribosomal RNA", at positions 634 to 1397 of the family's 1533-position model. The record is from RNAcentral.